Molecule: ribosomal RNA, 2929 nt
Filed under: Escherichia coli
Lineage: Bacteria; Pseudomonadati; Pseudomonadota; Gammaproteobacteria; Enterobacterales; Enterobacteriaceae
Description: bacterial LSU rRNA
Rfam family: Bacterial large subunit ribosomal RNA
Source: RNAcentral
GGGUUGUGAGGUUAAGCGACUAAGCGUACACGGUGGAUGCCCUGGCAGUCAGAGGCGAUGAAGGACGUGCUAAUCUGCGAUAAGCGUCGGUAAGGUGAUAUGAACCGUUAUAACCGGCGAUUUCCGAAUGGGGAAACCCAGUGUGAUUCGUCACACUAUCAUUAACUGAAUCCAUAGGUUAAUGAGGCGAACCGGGGGAACUGAAACAUCUAAGUACCCCGAGGAAAAGAAAUCAACCGAGAUUCCCCCAGUAGCGGCGAGCGAACGGGGAGCAGCCCAGAGCCUGAAUCAGUGUGUGUGUUAGUGGAAGCGUCUGGAAAGGCGCGCGAUACAGGGUGACAGCCCCGUACACAAAAAUGCACAUGCUGUGAGCUCGAUGAGUAGGGCGGGACACGUGGUAUCCUGUCUGAAUAUGGGGGGACCAUCCUCCAAGGCUAAAUACUCCUGACUGACCGAUAGUGAACCAGUACCGUGAGGGAAAGGCGAAAAGAACCCCGGCGAGGGGAGUGAAAAAGAACCUGAAACCGUGUACGUACAAGCAGUGGGAGCCUCUUUAUGGGGUGACUGCGUACCUUUUGUAUAAUGGGUCAGCGACUUAUAUUCUGUAGCAAGGUUAACCGAAUAGGGGAGCCGAAGGGAAACCGAGUCUUAACUGGGCGUUAAGUUGCAGGGUAUAGACCCGAAACCCGGUGAUCUAGCCAUGGGCAGGUUGAAGGUUGGGUAACACUAACUGGAGGACCGAACCGACUAAUGUUGAAAAAUUAGCGGAUGACUUGUGGCUGGGGGUGAAAGGCCAAUCAAACCGGGAGAUAGCUGGUUCUCCCCGAAAGCUAUUUAGGUAGCGCCUCGUGAACUCAUCUCCGGGGGUAGAGCACUGUUUCGGCAAGGGGGUCAUCCCGACUUACCAACCCGAUGCAAACUGCGAAUACCGGAGAAUGUUAUCACGGGAGACACACGGCGGGUGCUAACGUCCGUCGUGAAGAGGGAAACAACCCAGACCGCCAGCUAAGGUCCCAAAGUCAUGGUUAAGUGGGAAACGAUGUGGGAAGGCCCAGACAGCCAGGAUGUUGGCUUAGAAGCAGCCAUCAUUUAAAGAAAGCGUAAUAGCUCACUGGUCGAGUCGGCCUGCGCGGAAGAUGUAACGGGGCUAAACCAUGCACCGAAGCUGCGGCAGCGACGCUUAUGCGUUGUUGGGUAGGGGAGCGUUCUGUAAGCCUGUGAAGGUGUGCUGUGAGGCAUGCUGGAGGUAUCAGAAGUGCGAAUGCUGACAUAAGUAACGAUAAAGCGGGUGAAAAGCCCGCUCGCCGGAAGACCAAGGGUUCCUGUCCAACGUUAAUCGGGGCAGGGUGAGUCGACCCCUAAGGCGAGGCCGAAAGGCGUAGUCGAUGGGAAACAGGUUAAUAUUCCUGUACUUGGUGUUACUGCGAAGGGGGGACGGAGAAGGCUAUGUUGGCCGGGCGACGGUUGUCCCGGUUUAAGCGUGUAGGCUGGUUUUCCAGGCAAAUCCGGAAAAUCAAGGCUGAGGCGUGAUGACGAGGCACUACGGUGCUGAAGCAACAAAUGCCCUGCUUCCAGGAAAAGCCUCUAAGCAUCAGGUAACAUCAAAUCGUACCCCAAACCGACACAGGUGGUCAGGUAGAGAAUACCAAGGCGCUUGAGAGAACUCGGGUGAAGGAACUAGGCAAAAUGGUGCCGUAACUUCGGGAGAAGGCACGCUGAUAUGUAGGUGAAGCGACUUGCUCGUGGAGCUGAAAUCAGUCGAAGAUACCAGCUGGCUGCAACUGUUUAUUAAAAACACAGCACUGUGCAAACACGAAAGUGGACGUAUACGGUGUGACGCCUGCCCGGUGCCGGAAGGUUAAUUGAUGGGGUCAGCGCAAGCGAAGCUCUUGAUCGAAGCCCCGGUAAACGGCGGCCGUAACUAUAACGGUCCUAAGGUAGCGAAAUUCCUUGUCGGGUAAGUUCCGACCUGCACGAAUGGCGUAAUGAUGGCCAGGCUGUCUCCACCCGAGACUCAGUGAAAUUGAACUCGCUGUGAAGAUGCAGUGUACCCGCGGCAAGACGGAAAGACCCCGUGAACCUUUACUAUAGCUUGACACUGAACAUUGAGCCUUGAUGUGUAGGAUAGGUGGGAGGCUUAGAAGUGUGGACGCCAGUCUGCAUGGAGCCGACCUUGAAAUACCACCCUUUAAUGUUUGAUGUUCUAACGUUGACCCGUAAUCCGGGUUGCGGACAGUGUCUGGUGGGUAGUUUGACUGGGGCGGUCUCCUCCUAAAGAGUAACGGAGGAGCACGAAGGUUGGCUAAUCCUGGUCGGACAUCAGGAGGUUAGUGCAAUGGCAUAAGCCAGCUUGACUGCGAGCGUGACGGCGCGAGCAGGUGCGAAAGCAGGUCAUAGUGAUCCGGUGGUUCUGAAUGGAAGGGCCAUCGCUCAACGGAUAAAAGGUACUCCGGGGAUAACAGGCUGAUACCGCCCAAGAGUUCAUAUCGACGGCGGUGUUUGGCACCUCGAUGUCGGCUCAUCACAUCCUGGGGCUGAAGUAGGUCCCAAGGGUAUGGCUGUUCGCCAUUUAAAGUGGUACGCGAGCUGGGUUUAGAACGUCGUGAGACAGUUCGGUCCCUAUCUGCCGUGGGCGCUGGAGAACUGAGGGGGGCUGCUCCUAGUACGAGAGGACCGGAGUGGACGCAUCACUGGUGUUCGGGUUGUCAUGCCAAUGGCACUGCCCGGUAGCUAAAUGCGGAAGAGAUAAGUGCUGAAAGCAUCUAAGCACGAAACUUGCCCCGAGAUGAGUUCUCCCUGACCCUUUAAGGGUCCUGAAGGAACGUUGAAGACGACGACGUUGAUAGGCCGGGUGUGUAAGCGCAGCGAUGCGUUGAGCUAACCGGUACUAAUGAACCGUGAGGCUUAACCUUACAACGCCGAAGCUGUU